Molecule: non-coding RNA, 83 nt
Filed under: Anaerocolumna xylanovorans
Lineage: Bacteria; Bacillati; Bacillota; Clostridia; Lachnospirales; Lachnospiraceae
Also listed under: 1 other name
Description: c-di-GMP sequence
Rfam family: c-di-GMP-I-GGC riboswitch aptamer
Source: RNAcentral
AAAUGAAAAAGGCAAACCUGCCGAAAGACAGGGACGCAAAGCUACGGGCCUAAGACGAAAGUUACGGCAGCCGGGUUGCCAUG